UGGGGAAUAUUGCACAAUGGAGGGAACUCUGAUGCAGCGACGCCGCGUGAGUGAUGAAGGAAUUCGUUUCGUAAAACUCUGUUCUAUGGGAAGAAAAGGACUGUACCAUAGGAGAAAGCUCCGGCUAAAUACGUGCCAGCAGCCGCUGUAAUACGUAUGGAGCGAGCGUUGUCCGGAAUUAUUGGGCGUAAAGGGUGCGCAGGCGGCUUUACAAGUUGGAUGUGAAAUAUUGUGGCUCAACCACAAACGUGCAUCCAAAACUGCAAAGCUUGAGUUAAGGAGAGGUAAGUGGAAUUCCUGGUGUAGCGGUGGAAUGCGUAGAUAUCAGGAGGAAUACCGGUGGCGAAGGCGACUUACUGGACUUAAACUGACGCUCAGGCACGAAAGCGUGGGGAGCAAACAGG
Molecule: ribosomal RNA, 404 nt
Filed under: Fusobacteriota bacterium
Lineage: Bacteria; Fusobacteriati; Fusobacteriota
Description: Fusobacteria bacterium partial 16S ribosomal RNA
Rfam family: Bacterial small subunit ribosomal RNA
Source: RNAcentral